This 478-nucleotide ribosomal RNA is filed under the name uncultured bacterium. RNAcentral's name for it is "SSU rRNA". It matches the Rfam family "Bacterial small subunit ribosomal RNA", at positions 26 to 518 of the family's 1533-position model. The record is from RNAcentral.
AGGACGAACGCUGGCGGCGUGCCUAACACAUGCAAGUCGAACGAGGUCCAACCGGUGGCAACACUGGUGAAGACCGAGUGGCGAACGGGUGAGUAACACGUGAGCAACCUGCCUCGAAGACUGGGAUAACCCCGGGAAAUCGGAGCUAAUACCGGAUACCCCCACCGGGUCGCAUGGCCUGGUGAGGAAAUGGAUUCCGCUUUGAGAGGGGCUCGCGGCCUAUCAGCUUGAUGGUGGGGUAAUGGCCUACCAUGGCACCGACGGGUAGCUGGCCUGAGAGGACGAUCAGCCACACUGGGACUGAGACACGGCCCAGACUCCUACGGGAGGCAGCAGUAGGGAAUCUUGCGCAAUGGGCAAAGCCUGACGCAGCAACGCCGCGUGGGGGAUGAAGGCCUUCGGGUUGUAAACUCCUUUCAGUGGGAACGAAUUGACGGUACCACAGAAGAAGCCCGGCUAACUACGUGCCAGCAGCCGC